Molecule: ribosomal RNA, 485 nt
Filed under: uncultured bacterium
Lineage: Bacteria
Description: bacterial SSU rRNA
Rfam family: Bacterial small subunit ribosomal RNA
Source: RNAcentral
GAUGAACGCUAGCUACAGGCUUAACACAUGCAAGUCGAGGGGCAGCACUAGGUAGCAAUACUGAGGUGGCGACCGGCGCACGGGUGCGUAACGCGUAUCCAACCUUCCCGUUACUCUUGGAUAGCCUUCCGAAAGGGAGAUUAAUACAAGAUGGUAUUCAAAUUCCGCAUGUUAUUUGAAUUAAAGAUUUAUCGGCAACGGAUGGGCAUGCGGCGCAUUAGCUAGUUGGCGGGGUAACGGCCCACCAAGGCGACGAUGCGUAGGGGUUCUGAGAGGAAGGUCCCCCACACCGGUACUGAGACACGGACCAGACUCCUACGGGAGGCAGCAGUGAGGAAUAUUGGUCAAUGGGCGCGAGCCUGAACCAGCCAAGUCGCGUGAGGGAAGACGGUCCUACGGAUUGUAAACCUCUUUUGUCGGGGAGCAAGGGCUCUACGUGUAGAGUGGUGAGAGUACCCGAAGAAAAAGCAUCGGCUAACUCCGUG